GACGAACCGUGCGAACGUUGUUCGGAUUCACUGGGCUUAAAGGGCGCGUAGGCGGGCCGCGUAGUCGGUGGUGAAAUCUUUCGGCUCAACCGGAAAAUCGCCUCCGAUACUGGCGGCCUCGAGGGGGUAGGGGCAUGCGGAACUUCGGGUGGAGCGGUGAAAUGCGUAGAUAUCCGGAGGAACGCCGGUGGCGAAAGCGGCGUGCUGGACCCCUUCUGACGCUGAGGCGCGAAAGCCAGGGGAGCGAACAGGA
Molecule: ribosomal RNA, 253 nt
Filed under: uncultured bacterium
Lineage: Bacteria
Description: partial 16S ribosomal RNA
Rfam family: Bacterial small subunit ribosomal RNA
Source: RNAcentral